CAGGUAGUAGUGGGUGUAGCGUACNUACUAGCUUACGACGGGUACGGGUUGUGAGAGCAAGAGCCCGGAGAUGGAUUCUGAGACACGAAUCCAGGCCCUACGGGGUGCAGCAGGCGCGAAAACUUUACAAUGCUGGAAACAGCGAUAAGGGGACCUCGAGUGCCAGGUUACAAAUCUGGCUGUCGUGAUGCCUAAAAAGCAUUGCAUAGCAAGGGCCGGGCAAGACCGGUGCCAGCCGCCGCGGUAACACCGGCGGCUCGAGUGGUAACCGUUAUUAUUGGGUCUAAAGGGUCUGUAGCCGGCCGGAUAAGUCUCUUGGGAAAUCUGGCAGCUUAACUGUCAGGCUUUCAGGAGAUACUGUCUGGCUCGAGGCCGGGAGAGGUGAGAGGUACUUCAGGGGUAGGGGUGAAAUCUUGUAAUCCUUGAAGGACCACCAGUGGCGAAGGCGUCUCACCAGAACGGACCUGACGGCAAGGGACGAAAGCUAGGGGCACGAACCGGAUUAGAUACCCGGGUAGUCCUAGCCGUAAACGAUACUCGCUAGGUGUCGGCAACGGUGCGACCGUUGUCGGUGCCGUAGGGAAGCCGUGAAGCGAGCCACCUGGGAAGUACGGCCGCAAGGCUGAAACUUAAAGGAAUUGGCGGGGGAGCAC
This 653-nucleotide ribosomal RNA is filed under the name uncultured Methanosaeta sp. RNAcentral's name for it is "bacterial SSU rRNA". It matches the Rfam family "Archaeal small subunit ribosomal RNA", at positions 226 to 879 of the family's 1478-position model. The record is from RNAcentral. Lineage: Archaea; Methanobacteriati; Methanobacteriota; Methanomicrobia; Methanotrichales; Methanotrichaceae.